UAGUGUGUUGUUUUGCUCAAUCGAACUAUCCCGAUUUGCUGUCAGGAUGGAUCAGAAUGCCCUGAGCCAUCUGGUUCGUUCGGCGAUCGUUGGAAUGAGCAUUAUUUUGUUAUUUCGAUUAAGCAGUCUUUGGGUUUCGAUACUUCAUGGGGUCGGUCUCGGCAGUCAUCGAACAAGGCUCCAAUACUCUCAGAUGCCAAGGAGGAAGUCUUGAAGUUCAUUUUUAGCUGUACCUCUCCUCUGCUUAUGCUCCUUUCCGAUGAGACAUUAUAUAAGGCUGGCUUGAGCUUGGCCAAGUCUCAGGGUAAGUGCCGAUAUUUGUAAUUUGUAUUUCACCUCAAUUCUUUUUGAUGGUGGUUUUUUGCUUUUUAGACAUGAAGCCUGAAGA
RNAcentral lists this long non-coding RNA (388 nucleotides) under Elaeis guineensis (African oil palm). Its description in RNAcentral is "long non-coding RNA (EGUI_LNC062747)". Lineage: Eukaryota; Viridiplantae; Streptophyta; Magnoliopsida; Arecales; Arecaceae. The record is from RNAcentral.